CCUACGGGUGGCAGCAGUGAGGAAUAUUGGUCAAUGGGCGCGAGCCUGAACCAGCCAAGUCGCGUGAGGGAUGACGGUUCUAUGGAUCGUAAACCUCUUUUAUCAGGGAAUAAAGUGUGGGAGGUGUCCUAUUUUGUAUGUACCUUAUGAAUAAGGAUAGGUGAACUCCGUGCCAGCAGCCGCGGUAAUACGGAGGAUCCGAGCGUUAUCCGGAUUUUUUGGGUUUAAAGGGGCGGUAGGUGGCCUUUUUAGUCAGCGGGGAAAGUCUGGGGUUCAACCAUCGCAUUGCCGUUGAAACUGGGGAGCUAGAGUAUGGUAGAGGCAGGCGGAAUGCGUGGUGUAGCGGUGAAAUGCUUAGAUAUCACGCAGAACCCCGAUUGCGAAGGCAGCCUGCCAGGCCAUGACUGACGCUGAUGCACGAAAGCGUGGGUAUCAAACAGGAUUAGAUACCCUAGUAGUC
RNAcentral lists this ribosomal RNA (460 nucleotides) under uncultured bacterium. RNAcentral describes it as "partial 16S ribosomal RNA". It matches the Rfam family "Bacterial small subunit ribosomal RNA", at positions 338 to 795 of the family's 1533-position model. The record is from RNAcentral.